UACCACAGUUGGUUGAAAGUGUGUGCCAUC
RNAcentral lists this non-coding RNA (30 nucleotides) under Rattus norvegicus (Norway rat). Lineage: Eukaryota; Metazoa; Chordata; Mammalia; Rodentia; Muridae. The record is from RNAcentral.